Molecule: ribosomal RNA, 1002 nt
Filed under: uncultured Parabacteroides sp.
Lineage: Bacteria; Pseudomonadati; Bacteroidota; Bacteroidia; Bacteroidales; Tannerellaceae
Description: bacterial SSU rRNA
Rfam family: Bacterial small subunit ribosomal RNA
Source: RNAcentral
UNCGGAUUUAUUGGGUUUAAAGGGUGCGUANGGCGGCCUUUUAAGUCAGCGGUGAAAGUCUGUGGCUCAACCAUAGANUUGCCGUUGAAACUGGGGGGCUUGAGUAUGUUUGAGGCAGGCGGANUGCGUGGUGUAGCGGUGAAAUGCUUAGAUAUCACGCAGAACCCCGAUUGCGAAGGCAGCCUGCCAAGCCAUGACUGACGCUGAUGCACGAAAGCGUGGGGAUCAAACAGGAUUAGAUACCCUGGUAGUCCACGCAGUAAACGAUGAUCACUAGCUGUUUGCGAUACAGUGUAAGCGGCACAGCGAAAGCGUUAAGUGAUCCACCUGGGGAGUACGCCGGCAACGGUGAAACUCAAAGGAAUUGACGGGGGCCCGCACAAGCGGAGGAACAUGUGGUUUAAUUCGAUGAUACGCGAGGAACCUUACCCGGGUUUGAACGCAUUCGGACCGAGGUGGAAACACCUUUUCUAGCAAUAGCCGUUUGCGAGGUGCUGCAUGGUUGUCGUCAGCUCGUGCCGUGAGGUGUCGGCUUAAGUGCCAUAACGAGCGCAACCCUUGCCACUAGUUACUAACAGGUAAAGCUGAGGACUCUGGUGGGACUGCCAGCGUAAGCUGCGAGGAAGGCAGGGAUGACGUCAAAUCAGCACGGCCCUUACAUCCGGGGCGACACACGUGUUACAAUGGCGUGGACAAAGGGAAGCCACCUGGCGACAGGGAGCGAAUCCCCAAACCACGUCUCAGUUCGGAUCGGAGUCUGCAACCCGACUCCGUGAAGCUGGAUUCGCUAGUAAUCGCGCAUCAGCCAUGGCGCGGUGAAUACGUUCCCGGGCCUUGUACACACCGCCCGUCAAGCCAUGGGAGCCGGGGGUACCUGAAGUCCGUAACCGAAAGGAUCGGCCUAGGGUAAAACUGGUGACUGGGGCUAAGUCGUAACAAGGUAGCAAUCACUAGUGAAUUCGCGGCCGCCUGCAGGUCGACCAUAUGGGAGAGCUCCNAACG